This 324-nucleotide non-coding RNA is filed under the name Staphylococcus aureus subsp. aureus NCTC 8325. Its description in RNAcentral is "Staphylococcus sRNA 35 (srn_0335)". It matches the Rfam family "Staphylococcus sRNA 35 (srn_0335)". Rfam says of the family: Other name: Srn_0335, SAOUHSCs258. Northern blot transcript confirmed in exponentially growing and stationary cells in three cultivation media. The record is from Rfam by way of RNAcentral. Lineage: Bacteria; Bacillati; Bacillota; Bacilli; Caryophanales; Staphylococcaceae.
AUGUAGUGAUUCUUAAGAGUGGGAUAGAAAUGAUAUUCUCAUAAAAUUUAUUUCGUUGAUCCCCAACUUGCAUUGUCUGUAGAAUUUCUUUUGAAAUUCUCUAUGUUGGGGCCCCGCCAACUUGCACAUUAUUGUAUGCUGACUUUUCGUCACCUUCUGUGUUGGGGCCCCGUUCCCCAACUUGCAUUGUCUGUAGAAUUUCUUUUUGAAAUUCUCUAUGUUGGGGCCCCGCCAACUUGCACAUUAUUGUAAGCUGACUUUCUGUCAGCUUCUGUGUUGGGGCCCCGCCAACUUGUAAAAACUUUAAAAACGAUCAUUUCUAUU